Long non-coding RNA from Salmo trutta (river trout), 1923 nucleotides. Lineage: Eukaryota; Metazoa; Chordata; Actinopteri; Salmoniformes; Salmonidae. The record is from Ensembl.
GACAGAAUGUUAAAAUUAGGUGAAAAAUAUUUUUGGACCAAGUAAGACUUUUAAAAACCGGUGGAAUGAAACAUUCCAAAUAUCUCUAACGGUCGCCCCAGCGUGAGUUGUUUAAGCACGUGAUGUCAGAAUGCUCUCACUGUUCCAAAAUGUGAUUAUUACGCAACGGGAGAGUUAACACGCGCUGACUGCUAAUUAUCUAUAGGGUGUAAUAAUUAGUCCAACAUUUGCGAACAACUUCAGGUAUGUUCAUCCCCAAUUUGUUCCGUUUGCUUCUGUUCAAGAAACAUUUUAACAGAAUUGGCAGAACGAACACAUCCCUGAUCACGCUAGACCCAAUUCACUUUCAUAGUAGCCACAAUGUAUUCCUUGUCGCAUCUAUGCACCGUUACUUUAUCUUUUUCGUUUUUUUAAAUUGCCAGCGUCUUGAAGCUAAAAUUGGGAUCAUGUUUACUGUGCUAAUGACCAUUCCAACAGUAAAGGAGAGCAAUGUAGAAUACAGUGAACUCAGCAAAAGGAGUAAUUUGUGUUCCACUCUGCCCCAGUGUUUUCCUGCAGUCAACCAGACCCAGCAGUAAAGCAGUACCGGGAGACAUUUGACCUGGGGACUCCGGGAGGGCAGAGGGGAACGGGCUAGCUUUGUCCUCUUGGCGGCAAGAAAUAUAAAACAUAUUUGGUUUAAUGAUAAACUAUUGUAUUAAUUUAGUCUAUUUGGGAAUCCCUAGAAUAUCUCCUUUUUCCUCAAAUGUUCAAUUGUUCACUACUUCCCAAAAAUCUAAUAGCAUUGGGUUGGCGGAGGCAUGGGCUAGUUAGUUUCCACCAUUUUCAUUAUACCAGUAAUUUCCUUUCAAAACAGAGGAAGAGGCGACUUGUGACUUAAUUGAUUGAAUAUAUUUUUCGUAAUUAUUAGGUUGCCACCAACUUUGAGAAAAAAUCAUGAACCACACAUAUUUCACGGCCGGAUGAAAAAAAACGUACCCGAUUUAAACUGGUUACUACUCUUGCCCAGAAACGACAAUAUGCAUAGUAUUAGUAGAUUUGAGUAGAAAACACUCUAAAGUUUCUAAAAGUGUUUGAAUGGUGUCUGUGAGUAUAACAGAACUCAUAUGGCAGGCAAAAACCUGAGAAGAUUCCAAGCAGGAAGUGGCCUGUCUGCGAAUUUGUAGUCCUUCUUUUGCUUCUCUAUCGAAACUACAGUAUCUGAGCUGUUACGUAGCACUUUCUAAGGCUUCCAUUGGCUCUCUAAAGCCUUCAGAAUGCGGAUUGAGGCGUCUCCUGUCUCUGGGCAGAGUAUGGUAGCUCAGUUUGUCAGUGGUCUGCCUGGUGACUAAGAGAUUGGAGAUGCGCGUUCACGAGACCAUGCUGUUUUUUCUUUCGUCUUGGAAUGAAUACACUAUUGUCCGGUUGGAAUAUUAUCGCUAUUUUACGAGAUAAAAUACCAUAAAAAUGUAUUUUAAACAGCGUUUGACAUGCUUCUAAGUACGGUAAAGGAACAUUUUGAAUUUUUUUGUCUCGAUAUGCACUCGCGCGUUACCCUUUGGAUAGUGACCUGAACGCACAAACAAAACGGAGGUAUUUGGACAUAAAUAUGGAUUAUUUGGAACAAAAACAACAUUUCUUGUGGAAGUAGCAGUCCUGGGAGUGCAUUCUGACGAAGAUCAGCAAAGGUUAUACCAUUUUUCUAAUAGUAAUUCUGAGUUUAGUGUGCCCCGAAGUUGGCGGGUGUCAAAAUAGCUAGCCGUGAUGGCUAAGCUAUGUACUCAGAAUAUUGCAAAAUGUGCAUUCGCCGAAAAGCUAUUUCAAAAUCUGACAUAGCGAUUGCAUAAAGGAGUUCUGUAUCUAUAAUUCUUAAAAUAAUUGUUAUGUAUUUUGUCAACAUUUAUGAUGAGUAAUUUAGUAAAUUCACUGGAAGUUUUGGGUGGG